This 217-nucleotide unclassified non-coding RNA is filed under the name soil metagenome. Its description in RNAcentral is "partial contains 5.8S ribosomal RNA, internal transcribed spacer 2, and large subunit ribosomal RNA". The record is from RNAcentral.
AACCUUAUGGACCUGCGGGCGUAUACCUGCGGAAGGAUCAUUACAAGUGACCCCGGUUUACCACCGGGAUGUUCAUAACCCUUUGUUGUCCGACUCUGUUGCCUCCGGGGCGACCCUGCCUUCGGGCGGGGGCUCCGGGUGGACACUUCAAACUCUUGCGUAACUUUGCAGUCUGAGUAAACUUAAUUAAUAAAUUAAAACUUUCAACAAUGGAUCU